Molecule: ribosomal RNA, 497 nt
Filed under: uncultured bacterium
Lineage: Bacteria
Description: partial 16S ribosomal RNA
Rfam family: Bacterial small subunit ribosomal RNA
Source: RNAcentral
GAUGAACGCUGGCGGCGUGCCUAAUACAUGCAAGUCGAGCGAACAGAUGAGGAGCUUGCUCCUCUGACGUUAGCGGCGGACGGGUGAGUAACACGUGGAUAACCUACCUAUAAGACUGGGAUAACUUCGGGAAACCGGAGCUAAUACCGGAUAAUAUAUUGAACCGCAUGGUUCAAUAGUGAAAGACGGUUUUGCUGUCACUUAUAGAUGGAUCCGCGCCGCAUUAGCUAGUUGGUAAGGUAACGGCUUACCAAGGCAACGAUGCGUAGCCGACCUGAGAGGGUGAUAGGCCACACUGGAAGGGAGACACGGUCAAGACGCCUACGGGAGGGAGCAGUAGGGAAUCUUCCGCAAUGGGCGAAAGCCUGACGGAGCAACGCCGCGUGAGUGAUGAAGGUCUUCGGAUCGUAAAACUCUGUUAUUAGGGAAGAACAAAUGUGUAAGUAACUAUGCACGUCUUGACGGUACCUAAUCAGAAAGCCACGGCUAACUACGUG